Non-coding RNA from Pogona vitticeps (central bearded dragon), 3990 nucleotides. The record is from RefSeq and is a predicted model, not a curated record. Lineage: Eukaryota; Metazoa; Chordata; Lepidosauria; Squamata; Agamidae.
CUCUCCCUCCCGGCCAGUGGAGACCCUGCUUUGGAACCACCUUCCGGCCUACAAGGACUCUGCCACAGCCGGCUAGGGAUGGCCUUGGUCCUUUUCCUGGCCUGAAGCCACAGGACGGGGACCCGGGCAAAGGCUCCCCCCCAGGCCCCACCGGCGCCUCUCGGAACAGACCCUUAAUUCUGCCAUUUGUGGCCCAGCGGGGCUGAGCCGUAGCCAGAAGAGGGGAGAACAGUUGGACCAUCGGAAAGCAAGGGGGGAGCGCAGCCUCGCGACAGGAUUCCUCGGAGACCGUGGAUGGCAAGAACGAAGCGCUUCCUUCCGCCUGGAUGCCCCCGAUGUGAGAAAUCGAAGCAUUGACUUUGUAGGUUUCCCCAAAUCUUUGGAAGACAAGGGACUUGGGUUGAGGGUGAUACCCCAGUCUCGUGGGCUCUUCUGUCGGGAGAAGCCGUGUCACUUUGACACAUCACAUUCUUGUUGACUCUGUGGUGGGUGACUCCUUCCCAGUCCACCCCCGAAGAGAGCCGUGCCUCGAAAAUAGUUACGUGGGCUUUGUUGCAUUGUCUUUGCAGACGCUGCGACAGCCCUGGAAAAAGCUGGAUUUCUCCUCUUUGUUUUCUCCUCCUCCUCCUGUUCCUUGUGCAAGACCACUGAUCGAGAGAGCAUCUGUGCUUCGUCUUCCUCACACCCCAAAGCUCUAGACUGUGGCUCAUGAUGAAGGGGAGAGGUGCCCUUCUCAAGGGCCAUGAAAUGUUGGGGAUGCUCUGAGACAGAUGGGGAGGACGCCCUCCCAGUGAUCCGGCCAGCCUGCCCGCCUGCUGCUCCAUGCCUGGUCUGCAGGAGCCGGCAUCAUGGCACGGCCUGGCACAGGGACCCUGGUCUUGGCCAACGGACUGGGCUUCCCUCCCAGUAACGUGGCCCGGGUGGUGGUGUGGGAGUGGCUGAACGAGCACGGGCGCUGGAGGCCCUACACGGCGGCGGUGUGCCACCACAUCGAGAAUGUCCUGAAGGAGGAUGCCCGGGGGAGCGUGGUCUUGGGGCAGGUGGAUGCCCAGCUCUCCCCCUACAUCAUCGAUCUGCAGUCCAUGCACCAGUUCCGCCAGGACACAGGGACGAUGCGCCCGGUGCGAAGGAACUUCUAUGAGCCCUCUUCUGCUCCUGGCAAGGGCAUCGUGUGGGAAUGGGAGAAUGACAACAGCUCAUGGACCCCGUACGACAUGGACAUCUGCAUCACCAUCCAAAAUGCUUAUGAGAAGCAGCACCCCUGGCUGGAUUUGUCCUCCCUGGGGUUUUGCUACCUGAUCUAUUUCAACAGCAUGUCUCAGGUGAACCGCCAGACGCAGCGGAAGCGCCGUCUCCGAAGACGCAUGGACUUGGCCUACCCCCUGACCAUGGGCUCCAUCCCUAAAUCCCAGUCCUGGCCUGUGGGAAGCAACUCCGGCCAUCCUUGUUCGUGCCAGCAAUGCCUGCUGGUCAACAGCACCCGAGCGGCCUCGAACGCCAUCCUGGCCUCCCAGCGCAGGAAGGUCUAUUCAGGGAACGGCAACGGGACGCUGGCUGUCCGUCAGAGCAGUACGUUCAACGGGACCGCGUUGUGGUCCUUGGGCACCAUGCAAGCGAACGGGGCGGCCAAGAUCGAGCAGGUCCGCGCAGCCAAUGGGAUGCAAGUGGCUACUUUUGCACGGAGUCAGAGUGCUCCCAGCAGUGCUCAGCUCCCGGGUCAAAACAACCUCAACCGACCUGGUACACAACGAAUGGCUAUCCUCAGCACGAGGGCUUCAGUCCCACCAGGGGUUCCCGCCCUCCCAGUUAAGAACCUGAAUGGAACUGGCCCAGUCCACCCGGCCCUGGCAGGGAUGACAGGCAUUUUGAUGUGUGCUGCCGGCCUGCCCGUCUGUCUCACUCGAGCCCCGAAGCCCAUCUUGCACCCGCCGCCGGUCAACAAGAGUGACAUGAAGCCGGUGCCUGGCAUCACCGGAAUUUGCCGGAAGACUAAGAAGAAACAUUUGAAAAAAAGCAAGAACUCUGAAGACGUGGUGCGGCGUUAUAUCCAAAAAGUGAAGAACCCCCCAGAGGAGGACUGCACUAUCUGCAUGGAGAGACUGGCAUCCUUGUCAGGCUACGAGGGCAUUCUCAGGCACAAGGGGGCCAAGCCGGAGGUGGUGGGGAAGCUGGGCAAAUGUGGACACAUGUACCAUCUCCUUUGCUUGGUUGCAAUGUACAACAAUGGCAACAAGCAGGACGGAAGCUUGCAAUGCCCCACUUGCAAAGCCAUCUAUGGGGAGAAGACUGGAACCCAGCCCCCUGGGAAGAUGGAAUUCCACAUUAUCCCUCACUCCCUCCCGGGCUACCUGGACUGCAAAACCAUCCGCAUCGUGUAUGAUAUUCCCGCAGGUAUCCAGGGCCCCGAGCACCCAAACCCUGGGAAGAAGUUUACUGCGCGAGGCUUCCCCCGUCACUGCUACCUUCCUGACAACGAGAAAGGCAGAAAGAUCCUGAAAUUGCUGAUCAUGGCAUGGGAACGCCGGCUCAUCUUUACCAUCGGAACCUCCAACACGACGGGCGAAUCCGACACCGUGGUGUGGAAUGAGAUCCACCACAAGACCGAGUUCGGGUCUAACCUAACUGGCCACGGCUACCCUGACCCCAACUACCUGGACAACGUCCUGGCCGAACUGAUGGCCCAGGGGGUGACGGAGGCGCACCUGAAGGAUUGAGGACCCCCCCUUGGGCUCUCCUCCGCCCAUUCCCUCCCCAUCCCCCCACACUUUGCCAUGUGCUGCGUGGAAGCGUAAACACUGCCUGUGUCCGUCUGUCAGCCCAUCCGUGAGACGUGUUCUCUGUCUGUCUGUCUGGCUCUCUCCACCAGCGUUUGGAGUAGAUUCCCUUUGCCUCCCAUGUUGCUUCAGCUGGCUAGCGUUUGGAUGCUCAUGGCCCAGCCACACCGGAUGUGGCCGAAGAGGGCUGUGAGAAGCCUGCUCACCUCCGGGGCCCGGCCUGUCCGUGUAAUUUCUCGUUUGGAGGAACAGCAAGAAAACCACACAAAAACUGUGCAAGUGCAAUCCAGAGACGGGCCAAAGCCAGGAUGCCUAUGCAGUUCCUUAAGCAGAUCCAGAACCUGCAGUUUUCCUAGGCCACCGACAGUCGAUUUUUCGAUUUGCAAACAUUCCUUUGCACCCUCUGAUGGUGGUGGUGAAUUUUGUUAUAGUUGAGGAUGCUUCUUUCAAGCCAGGAACACUGCUUCUGAAAGCGUGCAAAGGGACUCUUUUUUUUUCAUUAAAAAAUUAAUCAAGGUGUGUUGGAUGAUGGAGGAGGAAGAGAGGGAUAGCCUUCCAAGGUUUGGGGGGGAGCGUGUUUCUCCCCAAGGAAGUUUUGGAAGUUGCUCCAUAUUUCUCACUCUUAGGACUAAAGGAUGGUCUUGAAGGGGAGUGGAAUGCGUCUGCACAGGCUUGCUUUUCCUACAGCAGAACCUGAGAACACUUUGCGAUAAAAAUUUGUCUGGUGAAUCUUGGCUAAGCAGCUUUCCUCCCCCAUCUUUAUGGAGCAGGGGGGAGGGUUUAAGACCUUUCUGCUUCACAAGGUAGUCUGUUUGGAUAUCUAGGUGUUAAAGCUGGAUUGGGGCCAGAGUCACCCAAAUGGGAAGGAAAUAGGGGGAAAAAAUCUUGCAAUAUUGACCGGUUUGGGUCGUUCACGAGUAUACUGCAAAAAUGAGAAGCAGCAGUAUUAACGAAUGCUUUCCUACUGGGAAAGGGAACCAAUGAGAUGCAGCAUUCGGCCCAUGCCCACAGAAUGAGAAGGCAGGGCUCCGCACCCUGGAGCAGAGCAAGCUUACUGGAUUUAGAAUUACAUAAAGCCAGGAGAUGGUCUGGACAUAACCCUUCAUUUUUAUUGCAAUGGCAGCAAAAUCUUUACUUCAGCCUUUAACGAGACAAAUGCAAUUUCUCUUUUACAAAAAUCUCAUCUUGAAAUAAAUGUGAAAGCAUCAAAAGCUUU